This 285-nucleotide unclassified non-coding RNA is filed under the name plant metagenome. RNAcentral's name for it is "partial contains small subunit ribosomal RNA, internal transcribed spacer 1, and 5.8S ribosomal RNA". The stretch from base 1 to 54 matches the Rfam family "Eukaryotic small subunit ribosomal RNA", at positions 1778 to 1831 of the family's 1831-position model. The record is from RNAcentral.
GGAAGUAAAAGUAGUAACAAGGUUUCCGUAGGUGAACCUGCGGAAGGAUCAUUAUUGUAUAACCGAGGUGCGAGGGCUGUCGCUGACCCGAAAGGUCGUGCACGCCCGAGUGCCCUCACACACAUCCAUCUCACCCCUAUGUGCACCACCGCGUGGGUCCCCCUUUGGCUUGUUCGGAGGGGGGCUUACGUUUUCACACAAACUUUGUAUGCAGUGUAGAAUGUAUUUUUUGUUUUUGCGAUCACGCAAUCAAUACAACUUUCAACAACGGAUCUCUUGGCUCUC